This is a non-coding RNA of Peromyscus maniculatus bairdii (prairie deer mouse), 996 nucleotides long. Lineage: Eukaryota; Metazoa; Chordata; Mammalia; Rodentia; Cricetidae. The record is from RefSeq and is a predicted model, not a curated record.
AAGGUAGAGAGUAACAGGCCUGACAUUUAUAACUUGCCAACAGAAGGAGCACGCCUGACCUUCUAGAGAGGCUGCUUCCCAGCCUCUUCUGUUCCACUGAAGAGAUUUCUAAAUGACAGAAACAUUACAAGAAUUAAAUGCUCCUUUGUUCUUUUGGAUUUCAAUUUUUAACAAUUCUAUUAUCGUCGUGUGUAUUGUGUACACAUUCCCCAGUGCAUGUGGAGGUCAGAGGACAGCUCUGCAGAAUGGGCUUUGUCCUUCCCCAUGGGAUCUGGGGGCCGAACUCUGGUCAUCAAGCUUGGGUGGCAAGUACUUUUACCCACUUAGCCAUAUCGCCUGGCUUGUUUUUAGGUACUUUUCUACACAGAUGAAGUUCUUCUUUUUAAAAAGAUGAAAAAUAAAGUCUCCAUUUUGAUUGGAACAAGAAGUAAUACGUUUUUGAAGAAAAUUAAGACAAUCUCCACACUAGAAGUAUGACUGUGGAGGACAGAGGUGCAUCUCAGAUAACCUGAGACAGAUGGCUGCAAGCCACCAUAUGGAUACUGGAAAAUUAACCUAGGUCUUCUGGAAGGUGUUCUCACUGCUGAACCAGCUCUCCAAUCCCUCUCAGAAACUUAUCGGUGCUGAUAAGUAUACCACUACAAGCAGCUGAAAACCAACAUGUUUAAAAAAUUUAAAAAAAAAAUUCAAGAAAAGAUCUCCAACUUGUCAGCUAGGCAGCAGAAUGUGAAGCAAGCCUCUAGACCUCACUGGGACACGUGAGCAUCAUGAAGUACCGCCGGAGGACACCAGGUGGCGUGGCUGCCAAGCCUGAGUAACUGUAGUCUGUGUAUUCUUUCUUUUUCCCUGGAGUCGGGGUCUCAAGUAGUCCAAACUGGUUUCAAACUUGCUAUGUAGCUGGAAAUUCCUUCAACUUAUUUUAAAAUCAACGAUUUUCACUGAUACAAUCCACCCUUUUCUCAGAAAAAAAAAUGAGUUUAUGUUACAAACCUGGGC